This 253-nucleotide ribosomal RNA is filed under the name uncultured bacterium. RNAcentral's name for it is "partial 16S ribosomal RNA". It matches the Rfam family "Bacterial small subunit ribosomal RNA", at positions 524 to 776 of the family's 1533-position model. The record is from RNAcentral.
UACAGAGGGUGCAAGCGUUGUUCGGAAUUAUUGGGCGUAAAGCGCGUGUAGGCGGCUUUGCAAGUCGGGUGUGAAAGCCCUCGGCUCAACCGAGGAAGUGCGCCCGAAACUGCAGAGCUUGAGUACCGGAGAGGAUGGCGGAAUUCCCCAAGUAGAGGUGAAAUUCGUAGAUAUGGGGAGGAACACCGGUGGCGAAGGCGGCGACCUGGGUGGAUACUGACGCUGAGGCGCGAAAGCGUGGGGAGCAAACAGG